RNAcentral lists this ribosomal RNA (776 nucleotides) under Salmonella enterica subsp. enterica serovar Enteritidis. RNAcentral's name for it is "partial 23S ribosomal RNA". It matches the Rfam family "Bacterial large subunit ribosomal RNA", at positions 717 to 1495 of the family's 2925-position model. Lineage: Bacteria; Pseudomonadati; Pseudomonadota; Gammaproteobacteria; Enterobacterales; Enterobacteriaceae. The record is from RNAcentral.
GAAACCCGGUGAUCUAGCCAUGGGCAGGUUGAAGGUUGGGUAACACUAACUGGAGGACCGAACCGACUAAUGUUGAAAAAUUAGCGGAUGACCUGUGGCUGGGGGUGAAAGGCCAAUCAAACCGGGAGAUAGCUGGUUCUCCCCGAAAGCUAUUUAGGUAGCGCCUCGUGAAUUCAUCUCCGGGGGUAGAGCACUGUUUCGGCUAGGGGGCCAUCCCGGCUUACCAACCCGAUGCAAACUGCGAAUACCGGAGAAUGUUAUCACGGGAGACACACGGCGGGUGCUAACGUCCGUCGUGAAGAGGGAAACAACCCAGACCGCCAGCUAAGGUCCCAAAGUCAUGGUUAAGUGGGAAACGAUGUGGGAAGGCCCAGACAGCCAGGAUGUUGGCUUAGAAGCAGCCAUCAUUUAAAGAAAGCGUAAUAGCUCACUGGUCGAGUCGGCCUGCGCGGAAGAUGUAACGGGGCUAAACCAUGCACCGAAGCUGCGGCAGCGACACUGUGUGUUGUUGGGUAGGGGAGCGUUCUGUAAGCCUGUGAAGGUGUGUCGUGAGGCAUGCUGGAGGUAUCAGAAGUGCGAAUGCUGACAUAAGUAACGAUAAAGCGGGUGAAAAGCCCGCUCGCCGGAAGACCAAGGGUUCCUGUCCAACGUUAAUCGGGGCAGGGUGAGUCGACCCCUAAGGCGAGGCCGAAAGGCGUAGUCGAUGGGAAACGGGUUAAUAUUCCCGUACUUGGUGUUACUGCGAAGGGGGGACGGAGAAGGCUAUGUUGGCCGGG